This 76-nucleotide transfer RNA is filed under the name Chloroflexaceae bacterium. Its description in RNAcentral is "tRNA-Gly". It matches the Rfam family "tRNA". Rfam says of the family: Transfer RNA (tRNA) molecules are approximately 80 nucleotides in length. Their secondary structure includes four short double-helical elements and three loops (D, anti-codon, and T loops). The record is from RNAcentral. Lineage: Bacteria; Bacillati; Chloroflexota; Chloroflexia; Chloroflexales; Chloroflexaceae.
GCGGGUGUAACUCAGUUGGUAGAGUACCUGCCUUCCAAGCAGGUUGUCGCCAGUUCGAGCCUGGUCGCCCGCUCCA